AGCCCUCUGUAUCCGUGCUGAGAUUUCAUCACACACCAGACCACAAGGGCUGAUGAGACUUGCAAGAUAAGUGAAGCG
Molecule: microRNA precursor, 78 nt
Filed under: Schistosoma mattheei
Lineage: Eukaryota; Metazoa; Platyhelminthes; Trematoda; Strigeidida; Schistosomatidae
Description: mir-3492 microRNA precursor family
Rfam family: mir-3492 microRNA precursor family
Source: Rfam by way of RNAcentral